RNAcentral lists this ribosomal RNA (434 nucleotides) under uncultured bacterium. RNAcentral's name for it is "bacterial SSU rRNA". It matches the Rfam family "Bacterial small subunit ribosomal RNA", at positions 340 to 789 of the family's 1533-position model. The record is from RNAcentral.
UACGGAAGGCAGCAGUGGGGAAUAUUGGACAAUGGGCGAAAGCCUGAUCCAGCCAUGCCGCAUGAGUGAAGAAGGCCUUCGGGUUGUAAAGCUCUUUUAGUGAGAAAGAUAAUGACGGUACUCACAGAAGAAGUCCUGGCUAACUCCGUGCCAGCAGCCGCGGUAAUACGGAGAGGGCUAGCGUUAUUCGGAAUUAUUGGGCGUAAAGAGCGCGUAGGCUGAUUAGUAGUUAAAAGUGAAAUCCCAAAGCUUAACUUUGGAAUUGCUUUUUAAAACUGCUAGUCUAGAGAUUUGAAAGAGGAUAGAGGAAUUCCUAGUGUAGAGGUGAAAUUCGUAAAUAUUAGGAGGAACACCAGUGGCGAAGGCGUCUAUCUGGUUCAAAUCUGACGCUGAGGCGCGAAGGCUGGGGAGCGAAACAGGGAUUAGAUACCCGU